This is a long non-coding RNA of Bactrocera oleae (olive fruit fly), 1439 nucleotides long. RefSeq lists it as uncharacterized. The record is from RefSeq and is a predicted model, not a curated record. Lineage: Eukaryota; Metazoa; Arthropoda; Insecta; Diptera; Tephritidae.
UGAUAUUUGUAUAAGUUAGCAUUACUGAUAAAAAUGUCAAAAAAUAACAAAAAAAAACAAUUUGGAGAACUUUGUGAAAGUUAUUGUUAAUUUGUAUAAUCAUUUGGAAUGGAAUUAGAAAGAGGUAAACGUAAAAUUAUAAGAGAUAAUUCUAAUAUCCUUAAGUGACAAAAGCUUUAUACAAAAGUUUCGCCUCAAUAAGGAGAAAUUUUUAUAUGUUUUGGAAAGCAUAAAGGCGAAUUAUAAACUCCACAAAGGUCCACUGCAGUUUGAGCAAUAAUAAAGCUGUUGCUUGACCAGUUUAAAAUUGCUUGCAUAGGGCGGAUACCAACAUUCGAUUGGUCAGAAUGGCUACAAGGCCUGGUGCAAAAAAGGUAUCCAGCUGAUGUUUACAAUACCAUCGAAGAAGUGCUGUGCCUAAGACACAUAGUGUUUUCAAUAACAAAUGAAGAGAAAGCCGAUGUCAGCAGAAGUUUCUAUAUGAAGUCAGGUGUUCCGGGAGUAAUUGAUGUACUGUCAUUUCGCGUUAAUGCAUGUUAAGAUAUGCUACACACAUGCAUUUGGGUGGGUGAAUGUCAUAAGGAAUGUGUCAUUAACUCGGUCAACUGCCCUGAAAGUAUACUUUUUACGGAUGAGAAACUUUCCUUUCUUACUUUCCACUGUUGAAGAAGUGACGAAAACAAAAUCUACGCAAAAACUUCCAAAGAGGAAAAAAAUUUUAUUCUAAGGGUUCAACGUGGUUACUAUCCAGCUAAUGGUUUGGUGGUAAGUCUCCUGUAAACCGUUACACCUUUUAAUUUUUGUAAAAAAGGGGUUAAAACUGUGGUAAAAGUGUACUAGUAGGAUGUUUAGAAGGUAUAGUAGGGUAAUUAAGCAAUACUCUCUCUCUCUCUUCGAUGGAGAGCAUUGUUUCUUUCCAGCAAGAUUCUACUCCAGCACACAAGGCAAAACCCCAGAAGUGGCCAAUAUUCCUAGUUUCAUAGUUUGUGGUCAGAGUUUUAGAACAUGGUCUGUCGAAUAAAGCACAGAAUUAAAGAGCCUCAAAAAAUUUUGGUUCGAGCAGCGCUGUCAAUACCAAUAGAAACUGUGCGUACUGCUAUUAAUCAAUUGCCGAAUUGUUUGAGGGCUUGUGUGACAGUAAAAUGUGACCAUUUGAAAUAAAAAUCGCUCUUUUAAUAUAUGCAUUAUUAAAUAAAAUUAACUCUAUGCAUUAUAGUUUCAUUUUUAUAAGGGCUUGAACUGGUAAAAGAACUUAUGGCAGGGUAAGUAUACAUAUAUAAGUUUAAACAGUAAAAUGAAGUGUUAUACGAAGUUGAUUGCUUUCGUUACAAGGAGUAACAGUUGUUGUUUCAGUUCCAACUUGAAUAAACUUGACACAGUAAAAAAGACUCAAAAAAUUGGUAGCUAGGAAAAUAAUAUCUUCUGUGACUACAUUGAAA